Xenia sp. Carnegie-2017 is the source of this 367-nucleotide long non-coding RNA. RefSeq lists it as uncharacterized. The record is from RefSeq and is a predicted model, not a curated record. Lineage: Eukaryota; Metazoa; Cnidaria; Anthozoa; Malacalcyonacea; Xeniidae. The transcript is spliced from 2 exons.
ACUUAUAGUAUGUUGUGAUGAAAACGGCUUUGUGCUGAACAUGCACGACUUUUGCAAAUAUUUCUUUACUUAAUUAUUUUAAGGAUUAUGGUUUUCACUCUCCUGUAUCGUUAUCUCAUGUUGUACCAAAACUUUCAAAUGUUGGAAGAGAUUUACUGCAGAAAUUACUCGUUUUCAACCCUUCAAUGCGAAUGGCCGCCGAUGUUGCAAUGAACCAUCAGUACUUUAACGAUGUGAAUCCUUCAGUCAAAAAUUCAAUAUAAAAAUAUGCACUGAUGCAUGUUAGCUGGUUUACGCCAUCCUAGGAGUGAAAAAGUUAAAAUCGUAAACUCAGUCCAAAACAAUCCAAAUGAGCUCUUUUAAGCAA